RNAcentral lists this ribosomal RNA (481 nucleotides) under uncultured bacterium. RNAcentral's name for it is "bacterial SSU rRNA". It matches the Rfam family "Bacterial small subunit ribosomal RNA", at positions 9 to 486 of the family's 1533-position model. The record is from RNAcentral.
GAGUUUGAUCCUGGCUCAGGAUGAACGCUGGCGGCGUGCCUAAUACAUGCAAGUCGAACGCACUGAUUUUAUCAGUGAGUGGCGAACGGGUGAGUAAUACAUAAGUAACCUGCCCUCAUGAGGGGGAUAACUAUUAGAAAUGAUAGCUAAGACCGCAUAGGUGAAGGGGUCGCAUGACCGCUUCAUUAAAUAUCCGUAAGGAUAGCAGGAGGAUGGACUUAUGGCGCAUUAGCUGGUUGGUGAGGUAACGGCUCACCAAGGCGACGAUGCGUAGCCGACCUGAGAGGGUGGACGGCCACACUGGGACUGAGACACGGCCCAGACUCCUACGGGAGGCAGCAGUAGGGAAUUUUCGGCAAUGGGGGAAACCCUGACCGAGCAACGCCGCGUGAGGGAAGAAGUAUUUCGGUAUGUAAACCUCUGUUAUAAAGGAAGAACGGUAUGAAUAGGAAAUGAUUCAUAAGUGACGGUACUUUAUGAG